This is a non-coding RNA of Trichechus manatus latirostris (Florida manatee), 71 nucleotides long. The record is from the annotation of a RefSeq genome assembly. NCBI's taxonomy places the organism in Eukaryota, Metazoa, Chordata, Mammalia, Sirenia, Trichechidae.
ACAUUGGUGGUUCAGUGGUAGAAUUCUCGUCUCCCAUGUGGGAGACCUGGGUUCAAUUCCCAGCCAAUGCA